RNAcentral lists this ribosomal RNA (439 nucleotides) under uncultured bacterium. Its description in RNAcentral is "bacterial SSU rRNA". It matches the Rfam family "Bacterial small subunit ribosomal RNA", at positions 954 to 1392 of the family's 1533-position model. The record is from RNAcentral.
AUGGGAACGCGAAGAACCUUACCUACUCUUGACAUCCAGAGAACUUAGCAGAGAUGCUUUGGUGCCUUCGGGAACUCUGAGACAGGUGCUGCAUGGCUGUCGUCAGCUCGUGUUGUGAAAUGUUGGGUUAAGUCCCGCAACGAGCGCAACCCUUAUCCUUUGUUGCCAGCGGUUAGGCUGGGAACUCAAAGGAGACUGCCAGUGAUAAACUGGAGGAAGGUGGGGAUGACGUCAAGUCAUCAUGGCCCUUACGACCAGGGCUACACACGUGCUACAAUGGCAUAUACAAAGAGAAGCGACCUCGCGAGAGCAAGCGGACCUCAUAAAGUGCGUCGUAGUCCGGAUUGGAGUCUGCAACUCGACUCCAUGAAGUCGGAAUCGCUAGUAAUCGUAGAUCAGAAUGCUACGGUGAAUACGUUCCCGGGUCUUGUACACACCG